This is a long non-coding RNA of Hyla sarda, 465 nucleotides long. RefSeq lists it as uncharacterized. The transcript has 4 exons. The record is from RefSeq and is a predicted model, not a curated record. Lineage: Eukaryota; Metazoa; Chordata; Amphibia; Anura; Hylidae.
GACACGCCCCCUUUUCUCACACCGCCGCUCGCCGGGAACCUGAGGCGGGAAAAGCUGAGGGCGCUCACUGAUCUAUAUGCUGACGGCGAUGAUGGAAGAAAGAUGGAUGGAGGAGACUACACGUCCUGAUGGCAGCAGUACAGAUGUUCUCCUUGAGGAGGAGUUUCAUGAGAAGGAUUUGGAGAUGGACUCUAUAGAAGAGAGAGGUGACAAUGACCUUACACAAGUUUCCUCAUCUGACUCAUCACCAUCUAGAAGGGACAAAAAAUAAAAGAACAUUCUUAACCCUACAUUUAUAAAGAAAAUUCAUCACACGCAGAUAAACAAACGAUACACAAGACAACAUGCAGAAGAUUUUCAUGAUCUACAUGUUAGUACAAGACAACAAAUGCUGCACUAUACAUGUACCUGGAGGACUAAGCUGAGCUGGAUGCUCUACAAGAUUGGUGAUUCCGUGGAAUUCUU